This 440-nucleotide ribosomal RNA is filed under the name uncultured bacterium. RNAcentral describes it as "partial 16S ribosomal RNA". It matches the Rfam family "Bacterial small subunit ribosomal RNA", at positions 339 to 795 of the family's 1533-position model. The record is from RNAcentral.
CUACGGGGGGCAGCAGUGGGGAAUAUUGCACAAUGGGCGCAAGCCUGAUGCAGCAACGCCGCGUGAACGAUGAAGGCCUUCGGGUUGUAAAGUUCUUUUCUUAGGGAAGAAUAAAUGACGGUACCUAAGGAAUCAGCCCCGGCUAACUACGUGCCAGCAGCCGCGGUAAUACGUAGGGGGCAAGCGUUAUCCGGAAUCACUGGGCGUAAAGGGAGUGUAGGCGGUCAAGCAAGUCAGGGGUGAAAGGCAUCGGCUCAACCGAUGUAAGCCUUUGAAACUGUUUGACUUGAGUGCAGGAGAGGUAAGUGGAAUUCCUAGUGUAGCGGUGAAAUGCGUAGAUAUUAGGAGGAACACCAGUGGCGAAGGCGACUUACUGGACUGUAACUGACGCUGAGGCUCGAAAGCGUGGGGAGCGAACAGGAUUAGAUACCCGCGUAGUC